Molecule: transfer RNA, 75 nt
Filed under: Chloroflexota bacterium
Lineage: Bacteria; Bacillati; Chloroflexota
Also listed under: 1 other name
Description: tRNA-Thr
Rfam family: tRNA
About the family: Transfer RNA (tRNA) molecules are approximately 80 nucleotides in length. Their secondary structure includes four short double-helical elements and three loops (D, anti-codon, and T loops).
Source: RNAcentral
GCCCGAGUGGCGCAACGGCAGCGCAGCCGAUUUGUAAUUGGCAGGUUGUGGGUUCGACUCCCUCCUCGGGCUCCA